UACAUGGGAGGGCCGUAGAGAUAGAUUUCAUAUUACAACGAAAUCAAAUAUGGUUCUCUGCUCAAAUUCAGCGCCACUAUCACCAGAAUGAAAGUACUUGGUGCAGUAAGGCCGCCACCAAGCCACUGCUAGUUUCCGAACAAACAGAUGGAAGAGGUGAUGGGCUAGAAGCUCAAACCACACUGCCUCCAAAUAUAGCCCCAAAGCAAUAAAGGGAGCCGGUGUCAAUCUGUUGCCGUCGAAGCUCCAAACGUCCUCCUUUGGGCGAGAAGAUACACCAACGGGGAGAUGAAGAUUGGGACCCAAAUGCCAUUGCCCAAAGGCCUUAUUGUAUGUGUAUUUUACUGAUAGUAUUGAGCAUGGGGAAACACAUACAUACCAGAGAAACAGAGGGAUGGACACGAGACAAAGGUUCACCUAGGUUAGGGCCCUAAUCAUUGAGGUAACUCCCUCAUCUUGCCUCAGUUAAUGGUAGUUAUCUUAACCC
RNAcentral lists this long non-coding RNA (487 nucleotides) under Hordeum vulgare. RNAcentral describes it as "long non-coding RNA (HVUL_LNC019745)". Lineage: Eukaryota; Viridiplantae; Streptophyta; Magnoliopsida; Poales; Poaceae. The record is from RNAcentral.